RNAcentral lists this microRNA (20 nucleotides) under Ananas comosus (pineapple). RNAcentral describes it as "microRNA s0326_c10a". The record is from RNAcentral. Lineage: Eukaryota; Viridiplantae; Streptophyta; Magnoliopsida; Poales; Bromeliaceae.
CCUAAAAUUGUCUGAACUGA